CGAAAACCUUACCUACCCUUGACAUGGUACGGAACGGGGCAGAGACGUCCCGGUGCCCGAAAGGGAACCGUAACACAGGUGCUGCAUGGCUGUCGUCAGCUCGUGUCGUGAGAUGUUGGGUUAAGUCCCGCAACGAGCGCAACCCUUACCAUUAGUUGCUACAUUCAGUUGGGCACUCUAAUGGGACUGCCGGUGACAAACCGGAGGAAGGUGGGGAUGACGUCAAGUCCUCAUGGCCCUUAUGGGUAGGGCUUCACACGUAAUACAAUGGCCGGUACAGAGGGUUGCCAACCCGCGAGGGGGAGCCAAUCCCAGAAAGCCGGUCGUAGUCCGGAUUGUUCUCUGCAACUCGAGAGCAUGAAGUCGGAAUCGCUAGUAAUCGCGGAUCAGCACGCCGCGGUGAAUACGUUCCCGGGUCUUGUACACACCGCCCGUCACACCAUGGGAGUGGGUUUCACCAGAAGCAGCUAGCCUAACCGCAAGGAGGGCGGCUUCCACGGUGAGAUUCAUGACUGGGGUGAAGUCGUAACAAGGUAAGCGUAGUGCU
This 547-nucleotide ribosomal RNA is filed under the name uncultured bacterium. Its description in RNAcentral is "bacterial SSU rRNA". It matches the Rfam family "Bacterial small subunit ribosomal RNA", at positions 963 to 1509 of the family's 1533-position model. The record is from RNAcentral.